RNAcentral lists this long non-coding RNA (532 nucleotides) under Capsicum annuum. RNAcentral's name for it is "long non-coding RNA (CANN_LNC001291)". Lineage: Eukaryota; Viridiplantae; Streptophyta; Magnoliopsida; Solanales; Solanaceae. The record is from RNAcentral.
UUAACUAUAAUUGGUGUUUUUAAUUUAUCCCAUUUACUUUCUGGUAAGCAAUUAUAUCUACAUAAAUUAGCUUCUGCUCCUAUAUCUAUCAUAGGCGUAUAAUAUCUACUGUAAUAUCCUUCUACUACUAUCUUCAUUAAUACAUAUAUUUUCAUUUUACUCUUUGUUAUAUUUUAAGAAUAACUUUUCUUUGUUAUAUGUUAAGGUUAAUUGUGUAUGUUCUAUAUUAUAUGGUUUUACUUGUUCUAACCAUUUUAUUCCUAAUAUUAUAUCUGCUUUUUGCAUUUCUUCCUUUACUUCGAAUUCUAUUUUUAUUUUUCUAACUCCUAUUAUUAUUUCUUUUUCUGCUAUAUUUUUACUAUUUAUUAAACUUCUUGGUAGAUCUGGGCACAUAUCAUUAUCAGUUUUUAUUUCAUCAUUUUUACUAGAUAUUUUGCUAUAUAAUUUUCUUCUUGUCCUGUAUUUAAGAGUAUUAAAUAUUCUUUUUCAUUUAUUUUUCCCGUUAUGUAAUAUUGGUUUAAAUUACUUAUUG